Molecule: ribosomal RNA, 450 nt
Filed under: uncultured Glomeromycotina
Lineage: Eukaryota; Fungi; Glomeromycota
Description: SSU rRNA
Rfam family: Eukaryotic small subunit ribosomal RNA
Source: RNAcentral
AGCAGCCGCGGUAAUUCCAGCUCCAAUAGCGUAUAUUAAAGUUGCUGCAGUUAAAAAGCUCGUAGUUGAAUUUCGGGACCAUCAUGUCGGUCGUGCCUCGGUACGUACUGGCAUUGUUGGUUUCUCCCUUCUGACGAACCAUGAUGUCAUUAAUUUGGUGUCAUGGGGAAUCAGGACUGUUACUUUGAAAAAUUAGAGUGUUUAAAGCAGGCUCACGCUUGAAUACAUUAGCAUGGAAUAAUGAAAUAGGACGUUUGAUUCUAUUUUGUUGGUUUCUAGGAUCGACGUAAUGAUUAAUAGGGAUAGUUGGGGGCAUUAGUAUUCAAUUGUCAGAGGUGAAAUUCUUGGAUUUAUUGAAGACUAACUACUGCGAAAGCAUUUGCCAAGGAUGUUUUCAUUAAUCAAGAACGAAAGUUAGGGGAUCGAAGACGAUCAGAUACCGUCGUAGUC